CGGGGUGAGUAAUGUCUGGGAAACUGCCUGAUGAGGGGGAUAACUGCUGGAAACGGUAGCUAAUACCGCAUAACGUCGCAAGACCAAAGAGGGGGACCUUCGGGCCUCUUGCCAUCGGAUGUGCCCAGAUGGGAUUAGCUAGUAGGUGGGGUAACGGCUCACCUAGGCGACGAUCCCUAGCUGGUCUGAGAGGAUGGCCAGCCACACUGGAACUGAGACACGGUCCAG
RNAcentral lists this ribosomal RNA (228 nucleotides) under uncultured bacterium. RNAcentral describes it as "partial 16S ribosomal RNA". It matches the Rfam family "Bacterial small subunit ribosomal RNA", at positions 104 to 334 of the family's 1533-position model. The record is from RNAcentral.